This 162-nucleotide ribosomal RNA is filed under the name Cytisus aeolicus. RNAcentral's name for it is "5.8S ribosomal RNA". It matches the Rfam family "5.8S ribosomal RNA". From Rfam's summary of the family: 5.8S ribosomal RNA (5.8S rRNA) is a component of the large subunit of the eukaryotic ribosome. The record is from RNAcentral. Lineage: Eukaryota; Viridiplantae; Streptophyta; Magnoliopsida; Fabales; Fabaceae.
AAAGACUCUCGGCAACGGAUAUCUCGGCUCUUGCAUCGAUGAAGAACGUAGCGAAAUGCGAUACUUGGUGUGAAUUGCAGAAUCCCGUGAACCAUCGAGUCUUUGAACGCAAGUUGCGCCCGAAGCCAUUAGGCUGAGGGCACGCCUGCCUGGGUGUUGCAC